UUGGGGGCUCCAGGCGUAGGUGACCAACAGAGACCUCCAGUGGAGCCCCUCAGAGACCUGAUGAGAGUUUGUGUGUACGGUAACAGGUGUUGGGAAAUGUCCUGAAUAUGAAAUAGGAAUGCAGGAAACAAAAUGAGCCCUUGUGUAAUGCUGACCCCUCACAUCAACUGCAGUGGAGACACCUCUGUGUGCAGACAGAGUUGUUCCUAUUGUGUGGGCCAGUGGAAAACAGGUGUGGCCGAUGAAGGGCCAGGUUAGACAGUUGUCAAACAGGAGCAGAAGUGACUCUCCAGGUAGCCUAAUAUAAAUAUGAGAAGCAAAGUAGUCAAGUGCCUGCUGUGACUGCAGAGGCAAGGAUAGGUUGGGAUCACAAUAACUGGGGUGGAGAUGCUUGGGAUUCAGCUGCUGUUGAGCGUGGUUCAGAGGGGGAAGUGUUUGCUGAAGCACAACAAGUAACAGGAGGGAAAGGGGAAGGUGACCCCGAUGGUUAUCCCAUCAGGCCUGAUGUGGUGGAGGAUUUUACUCAGACUGAACUUCCUGGUGUUAUGGAGAGGUUUAAAGUAAAGGCCAGAGAGUCUGUGAUCUCCUGGACAGUUGGGCUGCAUGACCUGGGAGCCUCUGGGAUCAGAUUGGACUGGGCAGACAGGGAGCAGUUUGUCCUGGGGAGCUGGGCUGGGUUUGUUCAGGAUGCCUUCGGAGGCAGGGCUGGAGAGGCUCCUUUGUUGGCUGUAGUGGUGGAAGGUUGUCCCAGGAGGACUGGAGCCCUUCGACCUCCUGUUCCCCCCGUGAGCCCCGACGGGACCGUGCACUUGGCAAUGGAGGGCCCCCCAUUGCUGAGUCAGCGGUUCCGGGGGCCGGCAGGGAUGGGAUCAGGAUGCCGAGCUCCAGCCCAGGCAGGGCAGGAAAUGGAGCAGCCACUGAAAGAAGCGAAGGCAGAGUGAGAUGAAGGCCGAGCUCCAGCACAAGGGUGGGUGAGAAAAGCCCAUGGCCCUCAGGUGGAGCUUUGAAUUCCUUGGAAAAAUGCAUCUUGUCAAAGGGCUCAGGCCCUUGUGGGUGCUGGAGUGGAGGCCUCUUCAACUGAUGGUCAGCCUAAAAAGGUGCAAGGGCAGCAAGUUUUGACAAUAGGAUGAGGUGGCAAACAAGGUGAAGUGGUACAGAGAAAAGCUGAGCUUCAGAUUGGUCCUGUGCCAGAGCAGCCUUGUGGAGUGCUUAUUGCUGUGCCUGGCUGUGGAAGGGCAGUGUAUCCCAUAAAUCUGUAUCCCGUGCUGUUGGCUUGUGCUUGUUUCAACUGUUGCUGUUAUUCUGUGACCGGGGAGGAGUUGUUUCCUUGAGUGCCCUGCCUGUCAGCACAGCACCAGGUCUGUUCAGCAGCUGGAGACCGGGCAGGUUUGGGGGCUGUGAUGUCCCAGCUCCCUUUGCCAUCCCUGCUGAAGGGUGGGGGUUGCACAGAGCCAGCAGCGUCCAGCUGGAGGAUCCAGGAGGAUGCAGCUCUGCUGUUCUGGGAGGGACACUGGGCUGGUCCAAGUGUGGCAAGAAGAACAAGUGGACCGUGAAGGUUUGGAGCAGUCUAGAAGGUUCCUCGUGCCCAAAGGAUCCUGGCAAGUGAAGUACUGGAAGAGCACAGAAUAAUGAAAAGUGCCUCAGUUCUCCUGAAGCUCAACUUUGUAAAAUAUUCAUGAAGAUAAAAUCCUACUGUACUGAGCUGUUGGGUCCCAAAUAGUCUUGGAGGGAGAGGCAGAAACUCCCACUGCUGCUGGGGCUGAACUGCUUGCAGUGCCCAGGUAGGACUCGGCCCUGAUGUCUGAGUGCUCUCCAGUCCCCCAGGAUGGAUCCCAACUGUCAGCCCCCGGCUCCAUAACUUGAGGAGAGGGUGUUCCUGAAAGCCCAGCUGCUGUGUUGGGGAUCCUGUGUGCACCUCUUGCUCUGGCCUGUUGUGAAUGUAUUUGUGUUGCAGCUCAAUAAAGUCACAAUAAAGUG
This is a long non-coding RNA of Myiozetetes cayanensis, 1977 nucleotides long. RefSeq lists it as uncharacterized. Lineage: Eukaryota; Metazoa; Chordata; Aves; Passeriformes; Tyrannidae. The record is from RefSeq and is a predicted model, not a curated record. The transcript is spliced from 2 exons.